Long non-coding RNA from Esox lucius (northern pike), 2432 nucleotides. Lineage: Eukaryota; Metazoa; Chordata; Actinopteri; Esociformes; Esocidae. The record is from Ensembl.
UAUUUAAACACCAGGUAUAUUAUAAAUAUAUAAUAUUGAAUAAUUCUACCAAAUGAAUGCUAAAUUAUGCAUAUUGCGGCCAUUGCUGAUAGUUUACAAUACUUUGUUUUUUAAACUGCUGCUAGUGUACAGUGUUAUGUAUAGUGUUGAUUUCUAUUUAAAUGUUUUUUGUCUGGCUAUAUUUUAGGUCUACAAAGAUCGGGUUCCUCUCUAGGGAGGACAUGAGGUCUUGGCUCACACCUCAGGAGAACCAUGCUUGAAAGACUUGUUGCUGUCCCUGUCCAAAGUCCUCCUGGUUGUGUUGCAGAUCGACACAAUACCUUACGAUUUCAGCAGCCAUUCUGCUGACCCCCCCAGACUAUCCACCACAGAUGUGUCAUCUGCACAGAGCAGGGUGAAUGCACGCAAGGCUGCCGGUCCUGAUGACGUCCCCGGGCGUGUGCUCAGAGCACGUGCUGGGCUGGUGGCUGAGCGCUAUACAGACAUUUUCAACCUGUCACUGGCCCAGGCAGUUGUUCCAACGUGCUUCAAGACCACAACCAUUGUGCCAGUACCAAAGCAUUCGACUGUGUCUAGCCAGAAUGACUUCUAACCUGUCACACUCACCCCCAUGAUCAUGAAGUGCUUCAAAAGACUAGUUUGGGCCCACCUUAACUCCUGCCUCCCCCCAAAACUGGAUCCCUACAAUUUUGCCUACCGGUUGAACAGGUCUAAAGAGGACACCAUCUCUACAGCUUUACACUCUGCCCUGACCCACCUGGACAAAACCAACACAUAUGUGAGAAUUCUAUACUUAGACAUCACCUCAACAUUCAAAACUGUCAUCCCCUCUAGGCUGGUCAAGAAACUCCAUGACCUGGGGAUCAGCCCCUCUCUCUGCAACUGAACUUUGGACUUCCUAACCGACAGACCCCACUCUGUCAGGUUAGACAACUUCACUCGGAUCCUGAACACUGGUGUUUCACAAGGGUGUAUGCUGAGCCCCCUCCUGUACUCCCUCAACUGCGUUCCUGUACACAGUUCCAACACCAUCGUCAAGUUCGCAGACGGUGCAAGGUCUGAUCAGUGACAAUGACGAGUCAGCCUCCAGGAAGUAGGUCAAACGCCUGGCGGUGUGGUACGCUGACAACAAUCUGGCCCUCAAUGCAAAGAAAGGAGCACAAUGUGGAUUACAGGAAGUCUAAAGUUUGCAGUCACACCCCAGUUCUCAUGGGUGGUACUGAGGUGGAGUGUGUGUCCAGCUUCAAAUUCCUGGGUGACCUCACCUGGACCCUAAACACCUCAACCCUAGUCAAAAAAGUGCCUGUACUAUUUGAGGAGGGUGAGGAAGGCUCGCUUGUCUUCCCAUAUCCUCGUGAAAAUCUACUGCAGCACAAUCAAGAUAAUUUUGACAAACUGUGCCACAUUAUGGCCCUACAAUGGGUGGUGAAAAUCACCCAGUGCAUCACUGGUGCCCAGCUCCGGGCCAUCGUGGACCUUCAGCACAAGCGGUGUCUGCACAGGGCUAGCGGCCUCAUCAGAAACCCUUCACACCCAUGCCACACACUGUUUGCCCUCCUACCAUCAGGCAGGCGGUACAGGUCUCUUCGUUCCCGCACCAACAGGCUCAGGAACAGUUUCUUUCCAUCGACUGUAAACCCUGCUGAACUCUGUGACCCAGAGAACUAUGUGAACUCUGUGACCCAUGACUAACCAUACCCCCUGUCUCUAAGGGACCUUGUUGCACUAUUCCCUUUGUACUACUCUGAAAGUCUGAUAAUGGACGUUUUUUGUUGUUACAGGUAUGUGUAUACCUCGGGAUCCUCACUGCUGUUAUCCCUGCAUUUCAGUCGCACAUGCAAAAUCAGUUUGCCUCUUCAAUUUGCACAUUUAUAAUUGCCAUCAUACUUGCAUUUCUGAAGUUGUUACAUAAGCAUGUCUACCUAUGGGACCUCAUUGCCGCUAUCUCUGCAUCCCGGUUGCACAUGCUACCUUACUGCUUCAGUUUGCCUCGAUUGCACAUCUAGAAUGCCAUUUAGAAUUGCCAUUUGUUCCCGCACAAAUAUCCCACUUGUAACAUACACUAUACUUUAUACUUUGCUCGUAUAUUCUUAACUUCUCAUUACGUAGUUGUCGGGUGCCAUGUCAAGAAUUUAAUUGUGCUGGAUGACGCUGUGUUUUUUAGUGCAUUUGGCAAAUAAACCUUGAAACUAUAACCUGUAGUUGACAAAAGAAGCAUGUUUCCCUGCUUGUAUAUUGCAACUGCCACUGUACCACCGCUAUCACUUCCCAGUGGCGUAGUGGUUAGAGAAUGUGUCCUUAGUGUUCAAUCAUGGCAGGUUCUAGGCAUGUCUCAUGUUAUGUAGUUUUUUGUGUCAUGCACGUAUAUAAAAGGUAAUGUAAUACAAUUAAUCUCUUUAAUGUAUUAUGAGUUUCAUGGUAUAACAGAGUGG